Molecule: long non-coding RNA, 925 nt
Filed under: Anas platyrhynchos platyrhynchos (common mallard)
Lineage: Eukaryota; Metazoa; Chordata; Aves; Anseriformes; Anatidae
Description: lncRNA (ENSAPLG00000030563.1)
Source: RNAcentral
CCUCUCUCCUCCGGAAGUGACGCAGCGCCUGGCGGCUGUGGUGGCUGAGGCGGCUGUGGCGACGGCGGCCAUGGGCAGGGAGGAGCGGGGAGGGGAGGCCGCUUAGGCCGUGCCCUCGGCCGCCGGGGAGCUUGUGGAGGACGGCGGCAGCGAGCUGGACGAGCACGGCGCCGAGGAGUGCCGGCUGCGGAUGCUGCUCGGGGUGGUUGCCUCACCUCGAGUACGGUGUGCAGUACAAAAAGGACGUUAAACUGUUGGAGAGUGACCAGAGGAGGGCGACAAAGAUGGUGAAGGACCUGGAGGGGAAGACAUACAAGGAGCAUCUGAGGGGACUGGGCCUGUUCAGCCUGGAGAAGAGGAGGUUGAAGGGAGACGUCAUCGUGGCCUACACUUUCCUCGUGAGGAGGAGUGGAGAGGAAGGCACCGAUCAAGAGAUACGUCUUGGCAGUUCUUUAUUUUUCCCCACUCGUGCCAUUUUAGAGAGAGAUCAUCUGACCAAGAUAUUUCGUGGAAAGUACUGAUCCUGAUGUCAUUCAGCAGCUUCUGCAAGACCGUGUCAUUAAGGACUGUUGCCUGAGAAAUGCUGAAGGUGAAAAAACAGAGCUCAUUACAGAGACAUCCACCAGUAAAUCAGCAGUAUGUGUGGCAAGUUUUAAAGCAAUUGAAACAAACGUUGGAGAAAUUGUUAAGUAGCUUGGAGUGAUUAUUGUGUGCUUGUUUUGUCAGCAGUCACUUUCAGUUCUGUCAGCAAUGCUCUGUGCCUCGUUAAUCAGCUCUGCUUCAAUGUUUGUGCGGGGAGCAUCUCCUAAAGAUCCCUAAGGUACUUUGGUUAAUUACACCAGCAAUGCGAUUUCUCUCAGUCCCUGAAAUUUAAACUUAAUUUAAAAUUAAUAAAUCAAUAUUUCUAUCAUUUAAUUGAUCGUUU